CGGGGAAACUCGUAUUAAUACCGCAUACGACCUACGGGAGAAAGGGGGCAGUUUACUGCUCUCGCUAUUAGAUGAGCCUAAGUCGGAUUAGCUAGAUGGUGGGGUAAAGGCCUACCAUGGCGACGAUCUGUAGCUGGUCUGAGAGGAUGAUCAGCCACACCGGGACUGAGACACGGCCCGGACUCCUACGGGAGGCAGCAGUGGGGAAUAUUGGACAAUGGGGGAAACCCUGAUCCAGCCAUGCCGCGUGUGUGAAGAAGGCCUUUUGGUUGUAAAGCACUUUAAGCAGUGAAGAAGACUCUUCGGUUAAUACCCGGAGACGAUGACAUUAGCUGCAGAAUAAGCACCGGCUAACUCUGUGCCAGCAGCCGCGGUAAUACAGAGGGUGCAAGCGUUAAUCGGAAUUACUGGGCGUAAAGGGAGCGUAGGUGGCUCGAUAAGUCAGAUGUGAAAUCCCCGGGCUCAACCUGGGAACUGCAUCUGAUACUGUUGAGCUAGAGUAUGUGAGAGGAAGGUAGAAUUCCAGGUGUAGCGGUGAAAUGCGUAGAGAUCUGGAGGAAUACCGAUGGCGAAGGCAGCCUUCUGGCAUAAUACUGACACUGAGGCUCGAAAGCGUGGGUAGCAAACAGGAUUAGAUACCCUGGUAGUCCACGCCGUAAACGAUGUCUACUAGUCGUUGGGUCCCUUGAGGACUUAGUGACGCAGCUAACGCAAUAAGU
Molecule: ribosomal RNA, 719 nt
Filed under: Psychrobacter cryohalolentis
Lineage: Bacteria; Pseudomonadati; Pseudomonadota; Gammaproteobacteria; Moraxellales; Moraxellaceae
Description: bacterial SSU rRNA
Rfam family: Bacterial small subunit ribosomal RNA
Source: RNAcentral